Molecule: transfer RNA, 72 nt
Filed under: Apaloderma vittatum (bar-tailed trogon)
Lineage: Eukaryota; Metazoa; Chordata; Aves; Trogoniformes; Trogonidae
Rfam family: tRNA
About the family: Transfer RNA (tRNA) molecules are approximately 80 nucleotides in length. Their secondary structure includes four short double-helical elements and three loops (D, anti-codon, and T loops).
Source: Rfam by way of RNAcentral
GGCCGGUUAGCUCAGUCAGUUGAGCAUGGUGUUAAGAACGCCAAGGUCGCGGGUUCAAUUCCCAUUCGGUCC